AAAAGAAGUCUAUCACUUUAAAGGCUUCAAGUUCUAAGUCAUCCACCAAUGAUACGUGUGAGAGUGAAUCAAGUGAUGAUGAUAAAGAUUUGAAUGAAGACAUGGGGUUGUUUGUAAGGAGGUGUAAAUGAUACCUUAGAAAGAAUAAAGUUCAACAUUUAGAUGAAAAUAUAGUCAACUAUAGAAGAUAAUAAAAAUUCUCAAAUCAAG
This 210-nucleotide long non-coding RNA is filed under the name Lathyrus oleraceus (garden pea). Its description in RNAcentral is "Pisum sativum (pea) long non-coding RNA (PSAT_LNC016068)". Lineage: Eukaryota; Viridiplantae; Streptophyta; Magnoliopsida; Fabales; Fabaceae. The record is from RNAcentral.